AAAAAGUAAAAAAAAAUUUAUUCGCUCGAAAUUUGAUUUUGAACACCUCCAUGAUCAAAUCAGAGUAAAAGGAUUGACGGAUGAGACGAAAACUGUGGGUAAAGCCGGGCGGCGCCGCCGCAGGAAAAACCAAAAACCACCUUCGAUGAGGCCCUUCCUGAUUCCCAUUUUGUGCAAUUUUUCCACCAUUGUAUUCACCAUUAUGUUUUUCACAGGUUGACCAAAGAAAAAUACCCAACUGUGAAGGUGAGCCGGCGAAGCCGCCGUAUUGGAAAACUCCGCCACCGGUAAGUUUUUAUUUUUCGAUUUUUUUCGACCAACUGAGGCC
This 328-nucleotide long non-coding RNA is filed under the name Carica papaya (papaya). RNAcentral describes it as "long non-coding RNA (CPAP_LNC007211)". Lineage: Eukaryota; Viridiplantae; Streptophyta; Magnoliopsida; Brassicales; Caricaceae. The record is from RNAcentral.